RNAcentral lists this non-coding RNA (55 nucleotides) under Spodoptera frugiperda (fall armyworm). Lineage: Eukaryota; Metazoa; Arthropoda; Insecta; Lepidoptera; Noctuidae. The record is from RNAcentral.
AUAUCAUGCACGACUUGGUAACCUGUGUUAGGUUACCAAGUCGUGCAUGAUAUAA